RNAcentral lists this ribosomal RNA (265 nucleotides) under uncultured archaeon. RNAcentral describes it as "partial 16S ribosomal RNA". It matches the Rfam family "Archaeal small subunit ribosomal RNA", at positions 717 to 982 of the family's 1478-position model. The record is from RNAcentral.
AGACGUCUACAUUAGAUACCCCGGGUAGUCCCAGCCGUAAACUAUGCGCGUUAGGUGUAUCGGUGACCACGAGUUACCGAGGUGCCGAAGGGAAACCGUGAAACGUGCCGCCUGGGAAGUACGGUCGCAAGGCUGAAACUUGAAGGAAUUGGCGGGGAGCACCACAACAGGUGGAGCCUGCGGUUUAAUUGGACUCAACGCCGGGAAGCUCACCGGAUAAGACAGCGGAAUGAUUGCCGGGCUGAAGACUCUGCAUGACUAGCUG